This 2327-nucleotide long non-coding RNA is filed under the name Homo sapiens (human). RNAcentral's name for it is "HSALNT0343029". Lineage: Eukaryota; Metazoa; Chordata; Mammalia; Primates; Hominidae. The record is from RNAcentral.
GAUUUAGAGCAGAAGAGAGACUUACAUUACACAAGGAUCACUGUACCUACUGGGUUCAAAAACAGUUUGCACAUAGAAGAAAGAAAACCAGUUUAGAAAGGAAUAUAGUAAUCCACGUAAGUGAUAACUGUGACUUGGUAUCAGGGUGGUAUCAAUAGAAAUUUUGAGAAAUAACUGGGAAUUCUGCAUAUAUGUAAAGAUAUUACAAUAGGAUUUCCAACAAAUUGGAUGUGUAUAUGAGAGAAGGGAAAGAUCUGAAAUGAAGCCAGCAUGUUUGUUUCAUCAACUGAGCGGAUGCUAUUGCCAUCCACCUAUGUGAGAAAUGAGAAAGAAUCUUAGUGGAGUAAGUUUGUAGGGGGCAAAGGAAACGAAAACUUCAGUUUUGGGCAUGCUAGUUUUGAAAUAUCUAUUUGACAUCUCAAUGAAAUGUCAGGUAGGCAGGGAUAAUAACGUGGUUAGAAGAGAACAAUUAGUGUGGCGUCAUGGAAGCCAAUAAAGAAAGUAUAUCAAGGACAAUGGACUUGAUGUUGAUAAGCCAAGUAUGGUAAGAAUUGAAAAGAUGGCCAUUUGAUUUGGCAAUCCAGAGUUCAUUGGUGAUCUUGACAAGGAUGCUUUUGUUGUAAUUAUCAGAGGAAACACCUGAUUGGAAAGGAUUACAAAUUGUAAGAGGAUGGAACUAGUGUUACUAGCAAUGGUCAACACUCUCUAGCUAUUUUGUUGUAAAAGGGAGAAGACAACUGGAAUUAAAACUAAUGGGCAAAAUGUGGUUUAAAGCAGGAUUAUGUUUCAGAUUGGAGAAGAAUAACAUUUUUGUUUUGCUGGUGGUGAUUACUAUGACUACAUAAGGAAAAAAUAGUGACGCAAAGAAAAAGAAGUAAUUCCAAUGUGUAGUUUUAAAUAGGUGAAAUGAAUUGUAUUUGUGCAUAAGGGAAGGUUUUACUGAGGAGAGAAUAUUUUUAUCUCAAGAAACUUGAUAGAGAACAGAGUAUAUGAGUUUGGUUGUGGGUACAUAUAUGAGGCUGUGAGACUUUCUGAAGCUUCUCCCUGGUUACUUCAAUUUUAUCAGUGGAAAAAGAAGCAAAGUCAUGAACUGAGAGCAUUAGGGUGGAGGUGUUCAGAAGAAAGGAAAAACUGUGAAAUAGUUCUCCAAGAUAGUGGAGAGUACAUGGACUGGUUAAAUAUAUUAUAUUGUGGGCAGCUGUAGGAGUCCUCUAACAAUUUGUCAAAUUGAAUUUAAAGUGAGAUCAUUAAGACCUGUGUGUUUCUCUGUGCAUCUUUAAUUGCACAGGUGCAGGUGUUGAAGAAACAGUGAGUUAGAUUUAUGUAGGGCUGUAAUUUUGCCUAAUGAAAGAUGUUAAGGGGCCUUGAAAAAUAUGCGGGAUCAAUUGAUUUAAGGUCAUGUUGGCAUCAAAUGACUGCUAGAGUUGGGAUACUAGAGCAAAUGAGCUAGAAAGAUAGAAGAUAAUGAUCAGAGACAUAGAUGCAUGAAACAGGGAUUAUAGAAGUAUGGACACUACUGGUAAUGGAUAUGUCUAUAAAUGACCUGGACUUAUUUGGCUGCAAUAGAGUGGAGGACAAGAUGUUAGAGGAAAGAAGAUUAAGGAAUUAAGAUGCCAAAUUUUAGGAAGGAUAUCAUAUAUGUGUUUAUUGAAAUUGCCAAUAACUAAAUUAGGAGUCAUGUUGAAGAGAGUGGCAGUUAGGCAGGAGAUAAAAUAGUUGAGAAACAAGGAGGGGUUAAUUGCAGUAUCAUUAAAUGGUUGCAACAGUGAAGAUAAUGAUCAAUAUAAUCUGCCGACCAGAGAUUGAAAGCUGGGAUUUACAGGGAUGGGAGGAAAAUCGUAUAGAAACUAUAGUAACAAUAGAAGUGGCCGUGUGUCAAUGUGAUCCCAUCUCAUGUGAUUUUUAAAACUGUAUUAUAUUUGUCAUACUGUAGGAAUCAUUAAGUAAUGAAAUCUAUUUGACUCAUGUGUUGAUAUUUAGAAUAGGGAAGUAAGAGUAAACACAAGGUGUAAUGAAAGAGUACAUGGAUGAAAAUCUUCGGAGAAAAUUUUGUGUUAGAGAGAAUUUGCAUGAAAGAUAAAUAGUUGUCAUACCUAUAAGCAGGGUCUUUAGCCCUUAACUACUUAAGUAUUCAGAACAGGUUUCAGACUGUGUAUAUAUAGUUAUGAUAAUAAACAGGCCCUAUUCUAACCCAGCUCUUAAACUUCUGCAUCUGGGCAUGCUACUUAUGUGUAAAUGAAAACUAAAUAGAACUGCAUUAAGGAGCUAAGUAAUCUCAAGAAGGAAGCGCUCAUGUUUGACAGUAAGAGGUACAUUUUUCAGGCCGG